This 464-nucleotide ribosomal RNA is filed under the name uncultured bacterium. RNAcentral's name for it is "partial 16S ribosomal RNA". It matches the Rfam family "Bacterial small subunit ribosomal RNA", at positions 338 to 795 of the family's 1533-position model. The record is from RNAcentral.
CCUACGGGAGGCUGCAGUGGGGAAUCUUCCUCAAUGGGCGAAAGCCUGACGCAGCAACGCCGCGUGAUCGAAUGAAGGCCUUCGGGUUGUAAAGAUCUUUUGUCAGGGACCAAUAAGCAGUGCGAAUAGUUUUAUGUAUGACGGUACAUGAUUAGAAAGCGCCGGCUAACUACGUGCCAGCAGCCGCGGUCAUACGUAGGGAGCAAUCGUUGUCCGGAAUUACUGGGCGUAAAGGGCGCGUAGGUGGGCGUAUAAGUCAGGUGAGAAAACUCCGGGAUCAACCUGGGGACUGCACUUGAAACUGGGUGUCGUGAGUGCAGGAGAGGAAAGUGGAAUUCGUGGUGUAGCGGUGAAAUGCGUAGAUAUUAGGAGGAACACCAGUGGCGAAGGCGACUUUCUGGACUGUAACUGACGCUGAGGCGCGAAAGCGUGGGUAGCGAACGGGAUUAGAUACCCGUGUAGUC